This 659-nucleotide long non-coding RNA is filed under the name Panax ginseng (ginseng). RNAcentral's name for it is "long non-coding RNA (PGIN_LNC005970)". The record is from RNAcentral. Lineage: Eukaryota; Viridiplantae; Streptophyta; Magnoliopsida; Apiales; Araliaceae.
UUAGGUGUUAUGUGUGUUUUAUGUUAUAUACUUGUUUUUUGCCAUGUAGGCUUGGAUCUGGAACUUGAAUCAAGCCCAGAUCAUGAGUAGAUUAAAAGUUAUAAGCUGUCAAAGGUCGUUGAGCGACCAUGACCGAACGAAUCUGGGAAACCCAGAUUACCCAGAAAGGGUCUGACAACGUUUUUGUGGCCUUUUGAUCUUGCAAUUGUUAAGGAUUCUGACCUUGUUGUUGUAUUAGAGUUGUUGUAUGAAAUGCCGACUACACAUACAAGUCAUUAGGACACUUAAAUCAUGAUCAGGUUGAACGAUAAUCAAUGUCAAACUUGGGAUGACCAUCUGCCGAAGAACAUUUCUGGAAAACCUAGAAAUGUUCAAAGACAGUCUUUCUGGCCUACUUUGAUCGGCUCAGAUUUUAAAAUUUGUGGUGUUUUUAAGUUAAUAUUAUGUGAUAUUAUGGUACCUUAACAUCAGGACUGCAAGCUAAAACCUCUAGAUCACACAAACUAGACACAUACUGCAAAUUAUGAAGCUUCAAAGUAGGGACCUUCGCACUGUUUGAGUUUCUGGGCAGCCCAGAAACUCAAGAACACCUCUGACAAGAUGUUUGGUAGCUUAGAUCUUGCAGAUUUGACAUGUUUUGGCUAUGAAACUUGCUGGAG